Molecule: ribosomal RNA, 253 nt
Filed under: uncultured bacterium
Lineage: Bacteria
Description: partial 16S ribosomal RNA
Rfam family: Bacterial small subunit ribosomal RNA
Source: RNAcentral
UACGUAGGGCGCAAGCGUUAUCCGGAAUUAUUGGGCGUAAAGAGCUCGUAGGCGGUUUGUCCCGUCUGCCGUGAAAGUCCGGGGCUCAACUCCGGAUCUGCGGUGGGUACGGGCAGACUAGAGUGAUGUAGGGGAGACUGGAAUUCCUGGUGUAGCGGUGAAAUGCGCAGAUAUCAGGAGGAACACCGAUGGCGAAGGCAGGUCUCUGGGCAUUAACUGACGCUGAGGAGCGAAAGCAUGGGGAGCGAACAGG